GAAUAUCAAAGAGACAACGUUGAAGGUGCCCUUCGGGUUUUGAUGGCAUUCAUCUACAAGCAACAACAGAAAGAUUACAGCCAUCAUUUCCUUUCUUCUGAACCAUUUUGUUAUUCAUACUUGACAUAUAUUAUACAUGAUUAUGCAAAUUUCAGUAUAUUAAUUUUAAAAACAAAAAUAUUUAUAUUCCACAGCAACACGCG
RNAcentral lists this unclassified non-coding RNA (203 nucleotides) under Hevea brasiliensis (rubber tree). The record is from RNAcentral. Lineage: Eukaryota; Viridiplantae; Streptophyta; Magnoliopsida; Malpighiales; Euphorbiaceae.